This 301-nucleotide long non-coding RNA is filed under the name Micromonas commoda. RNAcentral describes it as "long non-coding RNA (MCOM_LNC000166)". Lineage: Eukaryota; Viridiplantae; Chlorophyta; Mamiellophyceae; Mamiellales; Mamiellaceae. The record is from RNAcentral.
CAACCAUGAAGAAGGCCACGCACCAACGCCAGCCGUUGAAGGCCUCCUCGGGUGUUCCGGUGUCCUUGUCGACGCCGGAGCCGUCGGCGUACACCUUGAGGGUCUGGUGCUCGGCGCCCCACACGCCGUAACUGUAGACGAGAUCAUUGUGGGAGAACGCGAUGCCGAAGAGGGAGAAGAACGCGACGAUGAUGGAGAAGACGGUGACCUCCUCGAACUUGCGGUCGAUGGCCCACGCGGUGAGCGCGGCGAGGAUGAUACCCUGGACGAUGCCGCCGGAGGGUCCGAGCGAGAGAACGCC